Molecule: ribosomal RNA, 246 nt
Filed under: uncultured bacterium
Lineage: Bacteria
Description: partial 16S ribosomal RNA
Rfam family: Bacterial small subunit ribosomal RNA
Source: RNAcentral
GACAGAGGGUGCAAACGUUGUUCGGAAUUACUGGGCGUAAAGCGCGUGUAGGUGGCAAGGCAAGUCGGGUGUGAAAGCCCUGGGCUCAACCCAGGAAGUGCACUCGAUACUGCCUCGCUAGAGUCCCGGAGAGGUUGGUGGAACUCGUCGGUGUAGAGGUGAAAUUCGUAGAUAUCGAGAAGAACACCGGUGGCGAAGGCGGCCAACUGGACGGUGACUGACACUGAGACGCGAAAGCGUGGGGAG